This 424-nucleotide ribosomal RNA is filed under the name uncultured bacterium. Its description in RNAcentral is "bacterial SSU rRNA". It matches the Rfam family "Bacterial small subunit ribosomal RNA", at positions 355 to 796 of the family's 1533-position model. The record is from RNAcentral.
UGGGGAAUAUUGGACAAUGGGGGCAACCCUGAUCCAGCAAUGCCGCGUGAGUGAUGAAGGCCCUAGGGUUGUAAAGCUCUUUCGGCGGGGACGAUGAUGACGGUACCCGCAGAAGAAGCCCCGGCUAACUUCGUGCCAGCAGCCGCGGUAAUACGAAGGGGGCUAGCGUUGUUCGGAAUUACUGGGCGUAAAGGGCGCGCAGGCGGCUCUUCAAGUCAGAUGUGAAAGCCCCGGGCUCAACCUGGGAACUGCAUUUGAGACUGGAGAGCUCGAGUUCGGGAGAGGAGAGCGGAAUUCCCAGUGUAGAGGUGAAAUUCGUAGAUAUUGGGAAGAACACCGGUGGCGAAGGCGGCUCUCUGGACCGAUACUGACGCUGAGGCGCGAAAGCGUGGGGAGCAAACAGGAUUAGAUACCCCCGUAGUCC